AGCGAACGCUGGCGGCAGGCUUAACACAUGCAAGUCGAGCGGGCAUCCUUGUGGUGUCAGCGGCAGACGGGUGAGUAACGCGUGGGAACGUGCCCUUCGGUUCGGAAUAACUCAGGGAAACUUGAGCUAAUACCGGAUACGUGCGAGAGCAGAAAGGUUUAUCUGCCGAAGGAUCGGCCCGCGUCUGAUUAGCUAGUUGGUGAGGUUAUGGCUCACCAAGGCGACGAUCAGUAGCUGGUCUGAGAGGAUGAUCAGCCACACUGGGACUGAGACACGGCCCAGUCUCCUACGGGAGGCAGCAGUGGGGAAUAUUGGACAAUGGGGGCAACCCUGAUCCAGCCAUGCCGCGUGAGGGAUGACGGCCUUAGGGUUGUAAAGCUCUUUUCUCCGGGACGAUAAUGACGGUACCGGAGGAAUAAGCCCCGGCUAACUUCG
Molecule: ribosomal RNA, 435 nt
Filed under: uncultured bacterium
Lineage: Bacteria
Description: partial 16S ribosomal RNA
Rfam family: Bacterial small subunit ribosomal RNA
Source: RNAcentral